RNAcentral lists this ribosomal RNA (488 nucleotides) under uncultured bacterium. Its description in RNAcentral is "bacterial SSU rRNA". It matches the Rfam family "Bacterial small subunit ribosomal RNA", at positions 8 to 526 of the family's 1533-position model. The record is from RNAcentral.
AGAGUUUGAUCCUGGCUCAGAAUGAACGUUGGUAGCGUGGAUUAGGCAUGCAAGUCGAGCGACAAGGUGCUUCGGCACUGGAGGAGCGGCAAACGGGGUAGUAAUACAUCGGAACGUACCCUCUUGUCCGGGAUAGCCACGGGAAACUGUGGAUAAUACCGGAUAAUCCCGAAAGGGCAAAGGUCAGCCGCAGGAGGAGCGGCCGAUGCGAUACCAGCUAGUUGGUGAGGUAACGGCUCACCAAGGCAUAGACGUCUAGGGGGUGUGAGAGCAUGGCCCCCACCACUGGGACUGAGAUACUGCCCAGACACCUACGGGUGGCUGCAGUCGAGAAUCUUCGGCAAUGGGCGCAAGCCUGACCGAGCGACGCUACGUGCGGGAUGAAGGCCCUUGGGUUGUAAACCGCUGUCAGAGGGGAUGAAAGCGCAAGCUUGACAGAGCCUCAGAGGAAGCGCGGGCUAAGUUCGUGCCAGCCGCCGCGGUAAUUC